AAAAAAAUGCACUAAUUGUAUCAACAUGAAGGCCCCGUUUGGAAACUAUGUAAAAUUCUUCACCCAUGAAUACUUACGGGUGCAUUUUGCCGUGCACAACAGGUUACAGGUGAAUCAAAAAACCGGUGUUUAGUGUUUGGGAGAGAAGAAACGCCGGGCAGCCGCCGCCGCUGGACCUUGCGACCUCCGCCGAGCAUCCGCCGCUGGAUCCCGCCGCAUCCGCUGGACCUUGUGACCUCCGCCGAGCAUCCGCCGCUGGGUCCCGCCGCCGCCGCUGGAUCCCCUUGUUGCAGCCGGCUGCAUCCUUCCUCGGUGGAUCCCCAUCGUCCCAGCCGC
This 336-nucleotide long non-coding RNA is filed under the name Brachypodium distachyon (stiff brome). RNAcentral describes it as "long non-coding RNA (BDIS_LNC003753)". Lineage: Eukaryota; Viridiplantae; Streptophyta; Magnoliopsida; Poales; Poaceae. The record is from RNAcentral.